This is a long non-coding RNA of Hyalella azteca, 307 nucleotides long. RefSeq lists it as uncharacterized. Lineage: Eukaryota; Metazoa; Arthropoda; Malacostraca; Amphipoda; Hyalellidae. The record is from RefSeq and is a predicted model, not a curated record. The transcript is spliced from 2 exons.
UGACGGCGAUACACUUCGACCGACUUUUGUCGUCCUCCCUCCGACGUCCGUCAUCCGCAUAUCCGACGUCGGUCGUCGUGCUGUCCGACCUUCGGCUCUACUGCCUCGGUCGUCCUACCAUCGGACAUCUGGCGCUCUGCUACUAGUGUGGGACCUACCCUGAGACUGCGUACGCCCUCGGUCGUGCCGUGGAGCCUCGGACCCGUAUACCGGUGGACGAAGGUGGACCUGGAGGGAACAAGAACCUACAUCUUUAGGUUCAUGAACUAUCUGUGUGCCAGUCAUUUAAAUAAAUAUUUGUUAGGGA